UACAGAGGGGGCAAGCGUUAUUCGGAAUUAUUGGGCGUAAAGGGCGCGUAGGCGGCUAUUCAAGUGGCGGGUGAAAUCCCUCGGCUUAACCGAGGAACUGCCUGCCAGACUGGAUGGCUUGAGACCGGGAGAGGUGAGUGGAAUUCCCAGUGUAGCGGUGAAAUGCGUAGAUAUUGGGAGGAACACCAGUGGCGAAGGCGGCUCACUGGCCCGGUACCGACGCUGAGGUGCGAAAGCGUGGGGAGCAAACAGG
RNAcentral lists this ribosomal RNA (253 nucleotides) under uncultured bacterium. RNAcentral describes it as "partial 16S ribosomal RNA". It matches the Rfam family "Bacterial small subunit ribosomal RNA", at positions 524 to 776 of the family's 1533-position model. The record is from RNAcentral.